AAACGAGUAAAUCUCAUCCUAAUCUGGUUGCAUUUUCAAUACUUUUUGCUACCGAUUUGGUUUGGGAUUGGCUUGUCU
Molecule: microRNA precursor, 78 nt
Organism: Caenorhabditis briggsae
Lineage: Eukaryota; Metazoa; Nematoda; Chromadorea; Rhabditida; Rhabditidae
Rfam family: mir-259 microRNA precursor family
Source: Rfam